RNAcentral lists this transfer RNA (70 nucleotides) under Simocephalus sibiricus. RNAcentral describes it as "tRNA-Lys". Lineage: Eukaryota; Metazoa; Arthropoda; Branchiopoda; Diplostraca; Daphniidae. The record is from RNAcentral.
CAUCAAAUAGCUUAAAGUAAGCAAAAGCCUCUUAAGUUUUAGAAUAUCAGUUUACGCCUGAUUUUGAUGG